GGGGAAUAUUGGACAAUCGACGAUAGUCUGAUCCAGCGACGCCGCGUGGAGGAAGAAGUCCUUAGGGAUUUAAACUCAUGAAGCUAACGAUUAAGACAGAAGGGGAACCUUCCGGGAGAAGGUAAUUAGUGAAAAGACCCGGCUAACUACGUGCCAGCAGCCGCGGUAAUACGUAGGGGGCGAGCGUUGCCCGGAAUUACUGGGCGUAAAGGGAACGUAGGUGGCUCUUAAAGUCAGGUGUGAAAAUAACGAAGCUUAACAGGUUAACGCUUGAAACUAAAGGGCUUGAGGGCAAUAGAGGGAGAUGGAAUUACCUGUGUAGGGGUGAAAUCCGCAGAUAUAGGUAAGAAGGCCGGUGGGGAAGCCGACCUCCUGGGUUGACUCUGACACUGAGGUUCGAAAGCUAGGGGAGCAAACC
RNAcentral lists this ribosomal RNA (418 nucleotides) under uncultured bacterium. RNAcentral describes it as "bacterial SSU rRNA". It matches the Rfam family "Bacterial small subunit ribosomal RNA", at positions 356 to 774 of the family's 1533-position model. The record is from RNAcentral.